Molecule: transfer RNA, 83 nt
Filed under: Vibrio parahaemolyticus
Lineage: Bacteria; Pseudomonadati; Pseudomonadota; Gammaproteobacteria; Vibrionales; Vibrionaceae
Description: tRNA-Met
Rfam family: tRNA (bases 15-72)
About the family: Transfer RNA (tRNA) molecules are approximately 80 nucleotides in length. Their secondary structure includes four short double-helical elements and three loops (D, anti-codon, and T loops). Further hydrogen bonds mediate the characteristic L-shaped molecular structure. tRNAs have two regions of fundamental functional importance: the anti-codon, which is responsible for specific mRNA codon recognition, and the 3' end, to which the tRNAs corresponding amino acid is attached (by aminoacyl-tRNA synthetases). tRNAs cope with the degeneracy of the genetic code in two manners: having more than one tRNA (with a specific anti-codon) for a particular amino acid; and 'wobble' base-pairing, i.e. permitting non-standard base-pairing at the 3rd anti-codon position.
Source: RNAcentral
UACGCGAUAAUACAUGGAGCGCUUGGUAGCUCGUCGGGCUCAUAACCCGAAGGUCGUCGGUUCAAAUCCGGCCCCCGCAACCA